UUAAGUUAUUAAGGGCGCACGGUGGAUGCCUUGGCACUAGAAGCCGAUGAAGGACGUUACUAACGACGAUAUGCUUUGGGGAGCUGUAAGUAAGCUUUGAUCCAGAGAUUUCCGAAUGGGGAAACCCAGCAUGAGUUAUGUCAUGUUAUCGAUAUGUGAAUACAUAGCAUAUCAGAAGGCACACCCGGAGAACUGAAACAUCUUAGUACCCGGAGGAAGAGAAAGAAAAUUCGAUUCCCUUAGUAGCGGCGAGCGAAACGGGAAGAGCCCAAACCAACAAGCUUGCUUGUUGGGGUUGUAGGACACUCUAUACGGAGUUACAAAGGACGACAUUAGACGAAUCAUCUGGAAAGAUGAAUCAAAGAAGGUAAUAAUCCUGUAGUCGAAAAUGUUGUCUCUCUUGAGUGGAUCCUGAGUACGACGGAGCACGUGAAAUUCCGUCGGAAUCUGGGAGGACCAUCUCCUAAGGCUAAAUACUCUCUAGUGACCGAUAGUGAACCAGUACCGUGAGGGAAAGGUGAAAAGCACCCCGGAAGGGGAGUGAAAUAGAACCUGAAACCGUGUGCUUACAAGUAGUCAGAGCCCGUUAAUGGGUGAUGGCGUGCCUUUUGUAGAAUGAACCGGCGAGUUACGAUUUGAUGCAAGGUUAAGCAGUAAAUGUGGAGCCGUAGCGAAAGCGAGUCUGAAUAGGGCGUUUAGUAUUUGGUCGUAGACCCGAAACCAGGUGAUCUACCCUUGGUCAGGUUGAAGUUCAGGUAACACUGAAUGGAGGACCGAACCGACUUACGUUGAAAAGUGAGCGGAUGAACUGAGGGUAGCGGAGAAAUUCCAAUCGAACCUGGAGAUAGCUGGUUCUCUCCGAAAUAGCUUUAGGGCUAGCCUCAAGUGAUGAUUAUUGGAGGUAGAGCACUGUUUGGACGAGGGGCCCCUCUCGGGUUACCGAAUUCAGACAAACUCCGAAUGCCAAUUAAUUUAACUUGGGAGUCAGAACAUGGGUGAUAAGGUCCGUGUUCGAAAGGGAAACAGCCCAGACCACCAGCUAAGGUCCCAAAAUAUAUGUUAAGUGGAAAAGGAUGUGGCGUUGCCCAGACAACUAGGAUGUUGGCUUAGAAGCAGCCAUCAUUUAAAGAGUGCGUAAUAGCUCACUAGUCGAGUGACACUGCGCCGAAAAUGUACCGGGGCUAAACAUAUUACCGAAGCUGUGGAUUGUCCUUUGGACAAUGGUAGGAGAGCGUUCUAAGGGCGUUGAAGCAUGAUCGUAAGGACAUGUGGAGCGCUUAGAAGUGAGAAUGCCGGUGUGAGUAGCGAAAGACGGGUGAGAAUCCCGUCCACCGAUUGACUAAGGUUUCCAGAGGAAGGCUCGUCCGCUCUGGGUUAGUCGGGUCCUAAGCUGAGGCCGACAGGCGUAGGCGAUGGAUAACAGGUUGAUAUUCCUGUACCACCUAUAAUCGUUUUAAUCGAUGGGGGGACGCAGUAGGAUAGGCGAAGCGUGCGAUUGGAUUGCACGUCUAAGCAGUAAGGCUGAGUAUUAGGCAAAUCCGGUACUCGUUAAGGCUGAGCUGUGAUGGGGAGAAGACAUUGAG
Molecule: ribosomal RNA, 1583 nt
Filed under: Staphylococcus aureus
Lineage: Bacteria; Bacillati; Bacillota; Bacilli; Caryophanales; Staphylococcaceae
Description: bacterial LSU rRNA
Rfam family: Bacterial large subunit ribosomal RNA
Source: RNAcentral